CACCACAAGAACGCGUGGAGCAUGUGGCUUAAUUUGACUCAACGCGGGAAAUCUUACCGGGUCCGGACACACUGAGGAUUGACAGGCAAUAUAUGUGACUCUUCGGAGUNUGCAUUGUAAAUAUGCUAGUCCUUUCAUGAUUAUGUGAUAGGUGGUGCAUGGCCGUUCUUAGUUCGUGGAGUGAUCUGUCUGCUUAAUUGCGUUUCAAAUUACUUAUAAGGUAGCAAUACGCGAUGAAGCUUUCAAUAGUCCUCACGGAUUCACUUGAGUCUCUCGCUUCGCUAUCCUUUCGAAUGCAACGAACGUGACCGCAACCUCUUGUUGCCUUCGUUUAACAUCCUGCAGCUCGCUGUGGGUACUGAGGGCUUCACUCGGUGAC
Molecule: ribosomal RNA, 379 nt
Filed under: Globigerinita uvula
Lineage: Eukaryota; Foraminifera; Rotaliida; Globigerinitidae
Description: bacterial SSU rRNA
Rfam family: Eukaryotic small subunit ribosomal RNA
Source: RNAcentral